AACCCCCCAGAAUGCCUAGUAACGGCGAGUGAAGCGGCAAAAGCUCAAAUUUGAAAUCUGGCUCUUUCAGGGUCCGAGUUGUAAUUUGUAGAAGAUGCUUUGGGUGUGGUUCUGGUUUAAGUUCUUUGGAAUAUUACAUCAUAGAGGGUGAGAAUCCCGUAUGUGACCAGUCGCCACGCCCGUGUAAAGCUCUUUCAACGAGUCGAGUUGUUUGGGAAUGCAGCUCAAAAUGGGAGGUAUAUUUCUUCUAAAGCUAAAUAUUGGCCAGAGACCGAUAGCGCACAAGUAGAGUGAUCGAAAGAUGAAAAGCACUUUGGAAAGAGAGUUAAACAGUACGUGAAAUUGUUGAAAGGGAAGCGCUUGCAACCAGACUUGCACGCAGUUGAUCAUCCGGUGUUCUCACCGGGGCACUCUGCUGCGUUCAGGCCAGCAUCGUUUUCGGUGGUUGGAUAAAGGCCCAGGGAAUGUAGCUUCUUUCGGGGAGUGUUAUAGCCCUGGGUGCAAUGCAGCCUACCGGGAGCGAGGACCGCGCUUCGGCUAGGAUGCUGGCGUAAUGGUUGUAAGCGGCCCGUCUUGAACCACGGACCAAAUUACUAUC
RNAcentral lists this ribosomal RNA (598 nucleotides) under Tricellula curvata. RNAcentral describes it as "partial large subunit ribosomal RNA". It matches the Rfam family "Eukaryotic large subunit ribosomal RNA", at positions 63 to 682 of the family's 3401-position model. The record is from RNAcentral. Lineage: Eukaryota; Fungi; Ascomycota; Leotiomycetes; Helotiales; Calloriaceae.